Long non-coding RNA from Chinchilla lanigera (long-tailed chinchilla), 746 nucleotides. RefSeq lists it as uncharacterized. The transcript has 5 exons. Lineage: Eukaryota; Metazoa; Chordata; Mammalia; Rodentia; Chinchillidae. The record is from RefSeq and is a predicted model, not a curated record.
CGUUUGAUGAGGAUGGUUUUAUUUUGCUGAGAAUUCUGCCACGAUCGUUUGACAUUCUGAUCGUUGAAUAUGGUUGACUGUAGUGCUGGGUACUUUUUAGAGAGGUCGUCGGGAGCCGUUGUCUGUAACUUCUCCCACCUGAAUGUGAACACGUACUUAGGUAACUUACAAGAUUAAAAUUAAUUUGGUUGCUGGUGGUUCUGAACCAAUAUGUACAGCUCUUUUACCCCAGGUGUAUCAUUUUGAAGACUGAGACAUUGGAGUUUUAACCCUAUGGAUAAAGAAAAUGGUUGGGGAAAGUCUAUUUUAUAUCGCAAAAAUGUGAAUCCCUAGACUGAUAAUCUAGAGGGCCUGUGCAGUACAGCAAACCUUGGGAGCACACCCAGUCAGCUUGAAGAGUCUCAAAAGGACCCUACCACUGAGAAACCAAGAUGGCAUCCACUAUGGGGAGUUGAGGAAAUGGAUUAAUACAAGAGUGCUGUGAUAAAAUACCACCAAGACAGGGUUCUUUUAACAUGGAUUCAGUGAAGUGAAUGAAACCUAUCUUACCCAAGAAAUGGACAGUGGAUUUGACUUUCUAAAGACUUUCAUAUCAUUUAUACUAGUUCAUUUUUGACAUUUGGAGAAGAAAGAUGGCACGCUAACACAAAUGAUAGUGUGUAUGCCUGAAUUUUUUUUUCAUGAUUUGCUUGAAUAUGACCUCAUGGAAUGUUAACUUCAAUAAAAUUUCUAACAUUUAAAACAUU